This 74-nucleotide transfer RNA is filed under the name Cubamyces sp. BRFM 1775. Its description in RNAcentral is "Leiotrametes sp. BRFM 1775 tRNA-Ile". It matches the Rfam family "tRNA". Rfam says of the family: Transfer RNA (tRNA) molecules are approximately 80 nucleotides in length. Their secondary structure includes four short double-helical elements and three loops (D, anti-codon, and T loops). Lineage: Eukaryota; Fungi; Basidiomycota; Agaricomycetes; Polyporales; Polyporaceae. The record is from RNAcentral.
AGCCGACUAGCUCAGUUGGUUAGAGCGUGGUGCUAAUAACGCCAAGGUCGUCGGUUCGAUCCCGGCGUUGGCCA